UACCCUGGAUCAAUUGUGUGCCUUCCUGAU
RNAcentral lists this non-coding RNA (30 nucleotides) under Homo sapiens (human). Lineage: Eukaryota; Metazoa; Chordata; Mammalia; Primates; Hominidae. The record is from RNAcentral.